GAUUUCCGAAACUUGAAUUGUAUGUCUCUAUUCUCCAGGCGGACUCCUGACUUCUGAAAUUUGAAAUGUAUUCCUCUAUUAUCCAGGCGGGCUCCUGAUUUCCGAAACUUGAAUUGUAUGUCUCUAUUCUCCAGGCAGACUCCUGACUUCUGAAAUUUGAAAUGUAUUCCUCUAUUGUCCAGGCGGGCUCCUGAUUUCCGAAACUUGAAUUGUAUACCUCUAUUCUUCAGGCGGGUUCCUGACUUCAAAAAGACAAAGAAAUCAAUUGAGAACUAAAAAUUUGAAUUGUAUCACCUCUGUUCUUCAGGUGGGCUCCUGAUUGCUGAAACUUGAAUUGUAUGUCUCUAUUCUCCAGGCGAACUCCUGACUACUGAACUUGAACUGAAUGUAUUCCUCUGUUAUCCAGGCGGGCUCCUGACUUCAUCAAAAUAAAUGAACCAAGAAAACUUUCUGCCCCAGUUUGGAAACUGGGUACAUGUUACUUGAUAUUAAUAAGAAUUUGAUUAAAACUUGACUUGAAAUACCUCUGUUAUACAGGCGGG
RNAcentral lists this long non-coding RNA (542 nucleotides) under Nicotiana tabacum (common tobacco). RNAcentral's name for it is "long non-coding RNA (NTAB_LNC009860)". Lineage: Eukaryota; Viridiplantae; Streptophyta; Magnoliopsida; Solanales; Solanaceae. The record is from RNAcentral.